Paramuricea clavata is the source of this 896-nucleotide non-coding RNA. The record is from the annotation of a GenBank genome assembly. Lineage: Eukaryota; Metazoa; Cnidaria; Anthozoa; Malacalcyonacea; Plexauridae.
CAAAAGCAAAACAAAUUGUUUGAAAUAUUUUAUUGUUUCGUCUAUAAAAUGAUGAUUUUUUCGGGGUUUUGGUGGAAAUGUUGAUGUUCUUCAUAGUGGGAUACAAAAGGUGUGUUAGCGACUGAAUAAGGAAAAGAUUGCGUGUGAAACAGGGUCAGUAUAGAGCCGGCAGGAGCCGCGAAGAGUGCUGUUGUCGAAGCAAAAUGUCACAAUUAAUUGUGUCAUCUUGUCCAUUGAAAAAGCUUUAAAAUGUAGAGACAUUUGUGGUUCCUCCAGCAUAAUUUAGCCGUUUAACGCUAUUAUGUUUCUAAUGGUUGAAAGAGCGCGUGGAAAGGGCAAUUUUUAAGAACAAAAACAAUUACAAUGUACUAUGUGUUAAUUGCUACUGUAGUAUUAAAAUACCUGAAGAGAGUCUCAAUUCUAAUAUUAAGUUGGUUAUAAACCUUGAUAAUAUUAAGUUGGUUAUAAACCUUGAUAAUAUUAAAGUUUUCAGAAGAUUUGUAGGAAUAUUAAAAGGAAUUUAGACUUAUAAAACAUAUUAAAAAUAUGAAUAUAGUGAAUAUUCCAUGUUUGUAUUGUGUUUAAUAUCAUCUCUAGAAAUUAACAGUGUAUAAACCAAAUCCUUGUUAUAUUUUUUAACUGCCCUUAUAGCUUUCAUUAUAUGUUUUAAUAUUUGCAAGCAGUUUAGUAGGUUAGGGAUGCAACAGCACUUUUCAAAUUAUUGAAUUAUAACCAAAUUUUGUGUCUGGAUAGGAAUUACUAUAUUAAAGUUUUACAGUUUGUAAUGAUAGAGUUGGAGCAAGUUAAGCUGCAAUGUGCCUCAGUUUGCCCUACUUUGUUAUUUUAAGCUGUUUAAUGCCAGAAUUAUUUGAAUGGGUUAACCAGUCCAUCUGCUA